GACGAACGCUGGCGGCGUGCUUAACACAUGCAAGUCGAACGGAAAGGCCCUGCUUUUGUGGGGUGCUCGAGUGGCGAACGGGUGAGUAACACGUGAGUAACCUGCCCUUGACUUUGGGAUAACUUCAGGAAACUGGGGCUAAUACCGGAUAGGAGCUCCUGCUGCAUGGUGGGGGUUGGAAAGUUUCGGCGGUUGGGGAUGGACUCGCGGCUUAUCAGCUUGUUGGUGGGGUAGUGGCUUACCAAGGCUUUGACGGGUAGCCGGCCUGAGAGGGUGACCGGCCACAUUGGGACUGAGAUACGGCCCAGACUCCUACGGGAGGCAGCAGUGGGGAAUAUUGCACAAUGGGCGGAAGCCAGAUGCAGCAACGCCGCGUGCGGGAUGACGGCCUUCGGGUUGUAAACCGCUUUCGCCUGUGACGAAGCGGGAGUGACGGUAAUGGGUAAAGAAGCACCGGCUAACUACGUG
This 468-nucleotide ribosomal RNA is filed under the name uncultured bacterium. Its description in RNAcentral is "partial 16S ribosomal RNA". It matches the Rfam family "Bacterial small subunit ribosomal RNA", at positions 28 to 507 of the family's 1533-position model. The record is from RNAcentral.